Molecule: non-coding RNA, 98 nt
Filed under: Bacillus massilioanorexius
Lineage: Bacteria; Bacillati; Bacillota; Bacilli; Caryophanales; Bacillaceae
Description: pan motif
Rfam family: pan motif
Source: RNAcentral
GGGUAGUAUCUAUUUGUGAUAGAACUGCACCUAUAUUUGUAAGAGUUGUAAUGACAUAUUAGUAGUCUGCCUAGAUCCGAGAGGACAGGGACAGAGGG